This 468-nucleotide ribosomal RNA is filed under the name uncultured bacterium. RNAcentral describes it as "partial 16S ribosomal RNA". It matches the Rfam family "Bacterial small subunit ribosomal RNA", at positions 28 to 507 of the family's 1533-position model. The record is from RNAcentral.
GACGAACGCUGGCGGCGUGCUUAACACAUGCAAGUCGAACGGAAAGGCCCUGCUUUUGUGGGGUGCUCGAGUGGCGAACGGGUGAGUAACACGUGAGUAACCUGCCCUUGACUUUGGGAUAACUUCAGGAAACUGGGGCUAAUACCGGAUAGGAGCUCCUGCUGCAUGGUGGGGGUUGGAAAGUUUCGGCGGUUGGGGAUGGACUCGCGGCUUAUCAGCUUGUUGGUGGGGUAGUGGCUGACCAAGGCUUUGACGGGUAGCCGGCCUGAGAGGGUGACCGGCCACAUUGGGCCUGCGAUACGGCCCAGACUCCUACGGGAGGCAGCAGUGGGGAAUAUUGCACAAUGGGCGGAAGCCUGAUGCAGCAACGCCGCGUGCGUGAUGACGGCCUUCGGGUUGUAAACCGCUUUCGCCUGUGACGAAGCGUGAGUGACGGUAAUGGGUAAAGAAGCACCGGCUAACUACGUG